CACACACCGCCCGUCACACCAUGGGAGUGGGUUGUACCAGAAGUAGGUAGCCUAACCGCAAGGGGGGCGCUUACCACGGUAUGAUUCAUGACUGGGGUG
Molecule: ribosomal RNA, 99 nt
Filed under: uncultured bacterium
Lineage: Bacteria
Description: partial 16S ribosomal RNA
Rfam family: Bacterial small subunit ribosomal RNA
Source: RNAcentral